CCUACGGGAGGCAGCAGUGGCUAAUAUUGGACAAUGGGCGCAAGCCUGAUCCAGCCAUGCCGCGUGAGUGAUGAAGGCCCUAGGGUUGUAAAGCUCUUUCACCGGAGAAGAUAAUGACGGUAUCCGGAGAAGAAGCCCCGGCUAACUUCGUGCCAGCAGCCGCGGUAAU
Molecule: ribosomal RNA, 169 nt
Filed under: uncultured bacterium
Lineage: Bacteria
Description: partial 16S ribosomal RNA
Rfam family: Bacterial small subunit ribosomal RNA
Source: RNAcentral